RNAcentral lists this ribosomal RNA (383 nucleotides) under uncultured eukaryote. RNAcentral's name for it is "partial 18S ribosomal RNA". It matches the Rfam family "Eukaryotic small subunit ribosomal RNA", at positions 592 to 976 of the family's 1831-position model. The record is from RNAcentral.
CAAUAGCGUAUAUUAAAGUUGUUGCAGUUAAAAAGCUCGUAGUUGGAUUUCUGGUAGGAGUGACCGUUCCGAACUUGAUUGUUCGUGUAUUGUGUUUUCUCCAGCCAUCCUUGUGGAGAACUUUUCUUGCAUUAAUUUGUAGGGAUUGGGACCCGCAUCGCUUACUGUGAAAAAAUUAGAGUGUUUAAAGCAGGCAAUCGCUUGAAUACAUUAGCAUGGAAUAAUAAGAUAGGACUUUGGUACUAUUUUGUUGGUUUGCAUACCAAAUUAAUGAUCAACAGGAACAGUUUGAGGAUAUUCGUAUGAACAUGUCAGAGGUGAAAUUCUUGGAUUUUGAUCAGACGAACUACUGCGAAAGCAUUUAUCAAGGAUGUUUUCAUUAA